CCCUUAGAUGUUCUGGGCUGCACGCGUGCUACACUGAUUACUUCAACAAGUGUUUUAACUGGAGAGUUCGCGUAAUCCUGAAAUGUUAUCGUGAUGGGAGUAGAGUAUUGUAUUUGUUAAUCUUUAACGAGGACUUCCUAGUAAGUGUAGGUUUAUUUGUUUUUUUUUUUACGUCCCUGCCCUUUGUACACACCGCCCGUCGCUCCUACCGAUUGGGUGUGCUGGUGAAAUGUUCGGAUCGGCCGUUUGUCGCGGUUUCCGCGUCAUGUGGCUGAGAAGUUCAUUAAACCCUCCCACCUAGAGGAAGGAGAAGUCGUAACA
RNAcentral lists this ribosomal RNA (321 nucleotides) under uncultured eukaryote. Its description in RNAcentral is "partial 18S ribosomal RNA". It matches the Rfam family "Eukaryotic small subunit ribosomal RNA", at positions 1470 to 1796 of the family's 1831-position model. The record is from RNAcentral.